AGACUAAAUGUACCCGCCACGACCUAGGCAGUUCUCGAAGGCGCUCCUUGACGGGCAACGCGCACUCAAUGCUAGAGCCUCCGCCCUGCGUCCCUCCCCAGGCUCAGACCUUCCCCUGUGGCCGUCCCCCUUCUUCCCCCUCAGCUGCUGCACGCCUCCUCCCAGGCGCGGGCAGAGAACGGCAACGCCUCCCUGUCGGCACCUCCCCCUUAAGCUGCCCGAGGCCCGCCUGCGCCCGCCUCCCCAGCGGCGCGCGACGCCCAGCGCCCCGAGGUGCGGGUCGGUGUUCUCCUAGGUUGAGGUGCGGCCCGCUAGCGAGACCGAGCCCCACUGCAUUUUCUUUUAUUUCAUUUCACUCGAGGUUUUGCACAGACUGAAGUUUUGUGGGUUAGGUUAAACUCGGGACCUCCUCAAAAAGGACCCUUUUUUUUUUUUUUUUUUUUCUUUCAAAAUGGCAGCCUCCAGCCGCGCACAAGUGUUAGAUCUGUACCGGGCGAUGCUGAGAGAAAGCAAGCAUUUCAGCGCCUACAAUUACAGAACUUAUGCUGUCAGGAGGAUAAGAGAUGCCUUCAGAGAAAAUAAGAAUGUAAAGGAUCCUGUAGAAAUUCAAACCUUAGUGAAUAAAGCCAAAAGAGACCUUGAGAUAAUUCGUCGACAGAGUCUGCCCUACUCAUCUUCAUCCUCUUCAGAAAUGACCUGAGUGGCAGUGACACCUAAAUAUAUGUUUCCAGCCCACACUUCUCUCCAGACUACACCCUGAUCUGCCUUCCUCCUUGACGUUUCACCCGGGACACCAUUUAGUUGCUUCCUGUUUGCAGAGCUCAUACCAGGAACAUUUUAUAAUAUUAAGCGGCUGUGAAUAUCUAAUCACAUGAGAAACAGUUGCUGUGUAUCUACCUUCACGUGUUGGAGAAAUUGCAGCCUGAGCCUGGUAAUAAGGUCCACAUUGGCCAACUGUAUUCGACCGACAAGCUUAUUAUUGAAAAUCAAGAGAAACCCAGGACCUAGGGAGCCAGGACCAGCCACCACUGGCAGCUGUGGACCCCACCUUCAGCAUCCAUUUUGUGCUUGGGAUGCGGGCUCCCAACAGACCACAAGUGGCCUCUUUCUUACAUCAGCUUAAAAUAGCCUCUUGCUCUGCCCGCCCUGUAAGGAGCUGAUAAACUGAGUCUGGUUUCCAUUCUUCUUUAGUCUUUAGUGAAAAAGGAUGGCUGUCUCCUUGGUUCAAGUGUUCAAAUGAAGAGCUGGAGUUCGCUCCCAAUACUGCUGUAUAUUAUUGUGUCUCCUCUGCCCACCCCUUUUUGUAUCUCAUCCCUGCUUGUAUAGAGCACCUCCACACUAUGUUUCUUGGUUGACAAUAAACAGAAUUGUCUGCCUAAGUCACCUGA
Molecule: RNA transcript, 1388 nt
Organism: Panthera uncia (snow leopard)
Lineage: Eukaryota; Metazoa; Chordata; Mammalia; Carnivora; Felidae
Gene: LYRM4
Gene name: LYR motif containing 4
Exons: 5
Source: RefSeq, a predicted model, not a curated record